This 211-nucleotide long non-coding RNA is filed under the name Setaria viridis. RNAcentral describes it as "long non-coding RNA (SVIR_LNC001614)". Lineage: Eukaryota; Viridiplantae; Streptophyta; Magnoliopsida; Poales; Poaceae. The record is from RNAcentral.
GGAGCUAUAGUCGGAAGAUAAGGAGGUGGAAGGAGGAACGAGGGGGGAACGCCACUCACAAACGGUUAGUUUUCCUUUUUACCAGUUCAGGAUUACGCAAUUCAUUUUCCAGUUUUUUACAUUCCGCUGGGGGUGCUGUGUUGCGUAAGUCUUUUCUUGGAGCCAUAAAAAACCAACAGAGUUGGUGUGUGGUAUGUGGGAGCAAUCCUGG